GAGAGAGAGAGAGAGGGAACCGAGCUCUCCCUUUCCCCCACGAUCUCUCUAGAUUUCUCUUUCUAGAUUUUUUCCAAACUUGGGGUUUUGGUGAAGUUUGAGCUCAGGAACGCGUAUAGAACGAUAAAUCGAGCUCGUGCGCGAGAUGAGGCUUGGUGCGCUCGUGGAUCUGAUGGGUUAGUCGGAUUAAAGGUUAGAGGAGAUCCCCCGACAACUUUAACUUGGAAAUCGACGGGCGUUCGGUGACCAAUUUUGAGUAACGAGCCAAACUGAACGACGUUGGCUGCGGGAGUCUGAUUGCAAGUGUUUACAAGCAAUCGAAAGCGUUGUGAAGUGGGUUGUGCUUUACCGAAGUGAUUAGAUUACUUCCAUAUCAAAAGGUAAAGUAUGAUAUUAUUAUUGAUGCAUGUAUAUAAUGGUCGGUUGUAUGUGGUAAAUAUGAAUGUAUAAAUCAUUUGUUAUUAGAUGAAAUUAUCUACCAUUGGACAAGAAAAUUAGGCAUGUGAAAAUAUA
This is a long non-coding RNA of Ananas comosus (pineapple), 513 nucleotides long. RefSeq lists it as uncharacterized. The transcript has 2 exons. NCBI's taxonomy places the organism in Eukaryota, Viridiplantae, Streptophyta, Magnoliopsida, Poales, Bromeliaceae. The record is from RefSeq and is a predicted model, not a curated record.